RNAcentral lists this transfer RNA (76 nucleotides) under Acidimicrobiia bacterium. RNAcentral describes it as "tRNA-Phe". It matches the Rfam family "tRNA". Rfam says of the family: Transfer RNA (tRNA) molecules are approximately 80 nucleotides in length. Their secondary structure includes four short double-helical elements and three loops (D, anti-codon, and T loops). Further hydrogen bonds mediate the characteristic L-shaped molecular structure. tRNAs have two regions of fundamental functional importance: the anti-codon, which is responsible for specific mRNA codon recognition, and the 3' end, to which the tRNAs corresponding amino acid is attached (by aminoacyl-tRNA synthetases). tRNAs cope with the degeneracy of the genetic code in two manners: having more than one tRNA (with a specific anti-codon) for a particular amino acid; and 'wobble' base-pairing, i.e. permitting non-standard base-pairing at the 3rd anti-codon position. RNAcentral also lists the same sequence under 2 other names. The record is from RNAcentral. Lineage: Bacteria; Bacillati; Actinomycetota; Acidimicrobiia.
GGCCAGGUAGCUCAGUUGGAAGAGCGACGGUCUGAAAAACCGUAGGUCGGCAGUUCGAUCCUGCCCCUGGCCACCA